CUCAGGAUGAACGCUAGCGGCAGGCCUAACACAUGCAAGUCGAACGGUAACAUAAGGUGCUUGCACUUUGAUGACGAGUGGCGCACGGGUGCGCAACGCGUAUAGAACCUACCCUGUACAGGGGGAUAGCCCAGAGAAAUUUGGAUUAAUACCCCGUGGUAAAUAUGAAUGGCAUCAUUUAUAUUUUAAAGUUUUCGGACGGUACGGGAUGGCUAUGCGUCCUAUUAGUUAGAUGGUGAGGUAACGGCUCACCAUGGCAGCGAUAGGUAGGGGCCCUGAGAGGGGGAUCCCCCACACUGGUACUGAGACACGGACCAGACUCCUACGGGAGGCAGCAGUGAGGAAUAUUGGACAAUGGGCGCAAGCCUGAUCCAGCCAUGCCGCGUGCAGGAAGACGGCCCUAUGGGUUGUAAACUGCUUUUAUACGGGAAGAAUAAGGGACACGUGUGUCCUGGUGACGGUACCGUAAGAAUAAGGACCGGCUAACUCCGUGCCAGCAGCCGCGGUAAUACGGAGGGUCCGAGCGUUAUCCGGAAUUAUUGGGUUUAAAGGGUCCGCAGGCGGGCAAUUAAGUCAGGGGUGAAAUGGUGCGGCUCAACCGUAGCACUGCCCUUGAUACUGGUUGUCUUGAGUCAUAGUGAAGUGGCCGGAAUAUGUAGUGUAGCGGUGAAAUGCAUAGAUAUUACAUAGAACACCGAUUGCGAAGGCAGGUCACUAACUAUCGACUGACGCUGAUGGACGAAAGCGUGGGGAGCGAACGGGAUUAGAUACCCCGGUAGUCCACGCCGUAAACGAUGGAUACUAGCUGUCCGCUGCCUUGAGCAGUGGGCGGCCCAGCGAAAGUGAUAAGUAUCCCACC
Molecule: ribosomal RNA, 859 nt
Filed under: Eudoraea sp.
Lineage: Bacteria; Pseudomonadati; Bacteroidota; Flavobacteriia; Flavobacteriales; Flavobacteriaceae
Description: bacterial SSU rRNA
Rfam family: Bacterial small subunit ribosomal RNA
Source: RNAcentral